AUGCACUGGAGAGCCAGCCUUUCAGCAGGGCAGUGUGGAGCAAGGCCACCCAGCCAGCCCAGCCUGACGGCAGUCAGCCAAUGCUUCUUACAGAUGCUGGACCAUGGGAUUGCAGAUCCUAUAACCUCAGACUAUGAGUUGAAAUAAACCUUUUCUUCCAAAGAUGCUCCUUUCAGGACUUAUUAGAAUUGCGUCUGGAUCAAAUUUCAGCUGACCUUUGAGGAGAACAAGUUUUGGCCCAUUUUAAGCAUCAAGCUCAUUGAGUCUUCAAAACUACUUUGAAAGGGGAUAUGCCAAUAUGAUGAUGUUUUAAAAGCACAAAUCAGAGCACAUACUAACAAUAAAGUUUUGAAAGAAAAAAUAAAAUGUUAAACU
Molecule: long non-coding RNA, 375 nt
Filed under: Oryctolagus cuniculus (rabbit)
Lineage: Eukaryota; Metazoa; Chordata; Mammalia; Lagomorpha; Leporidae
Description: lncRNA (ENSOCUG00000038375.1)
Source: RNAcentral